GAUCAUGGCUCAGGAUGAACGCUGGCGGCGUGCCUAACACAUGCAAGUCGAGCGAACCCUCGGGGUGAGCGGCGGACGGGUGAGUAACGCGUGGGUAACCUGCCCUGUACACACGGAUAACAUACCGAAAGGUAUGCUAAUACGAGAUAAUAUAUUUUAAUCGCAUGGUUAAGAUAUCAAAGCUCCGGCGGUACAGGAUGGACCCGCGUCUGAUUAGCUAGUUGGUGAGGUAAUGGCUCACCAAGGCGACGAUCAGUAGCCGACCUGAGAGGGUGAUCGGCCACACUGGAACUGAGACACGGUCCAGACUCCUACGGGAGGCAGCAGUGGGGAAUAUUGCACAAUGGGCGAAAGCCUGAUGCAGCAACGCCGCGUGAGCGAUGAAGGCCUUCGGGUCGUAAAGCUCUGUCCUCAAGGAAGAUAAUGACGGUACUUGAGGAGGAAGCCCCGGCUAACUACGUGCCAGCCGCCGC
RNAcentral lists this ribosomal RNA (473 nucleotides) under uncultured bacterium. RNAcentral's name for it is "bacterial SSU rRNA". It matches the Rfam family "Bacterial small subunit ribosomal RNA", at positions 15 to 518 of the family's 1533-position model. The record is from RNAcentral.